UAUUGUUUCCUGGACCUUCGGGAUUUUCCUGCAAGUUGGUACCCUCUGUAUUAUCAGUUCUUUGGUUUGAAAAUACAAAACUAUCCUCUACAAACAAAAAGUUAUAUUUUGAUACACUUGCAGGAAAAUCCGGCAUGUUAUUUCAUUGGUUUGCAGUGGUUAUUCCAUAAAAUUCAAUUAUAUUACUGCUAUAUUAGAAAAGGCAAAGAUUUGAACAUGCUUGUGCUUCAAGGUUAUUUUUGUCUUUUUGAUUUAGUUGAUAUACAUGUGUCAUCAUGUCACAAGAAAAAUGGUCAAACCCAUCGACAGCUCCCUCAACUUGCACUAUCUUUCACUUUGACACCUCAAAUGGACAUUGGUUACUUUUGGCACCUCAAGUAGCAUAUAAAUGUGUCAUUUUGACAUUUUUUGCUGAAUCAGCAAAAUUAUACAAGGUGUGUGUAUUACACGUGCUGUUGACAUGUAAAGUGACAAAUAGUAUGCCGACAUUUGUCAUUUUUCUAAAAGAUAAUUUUAAACCCUAUCCCUAACCUUCAAAAUCAUCUUCUAAAUGCAGCAGUGCCUCCCCUCUCACCCCCAAUACCCCACCCCCAACAUUGUUUCUCUAACUCACCCCCACCCUCUAAAAUUUUAAAUCUCUGAAAUUUCAAAUUUCAACUUGUUAGAGACGGAAGCCAUUGAUGGACCUUCACUAAACACACACAAUUUCUUUCUUCCUCUUUGUGAUGAUUCAUGUUUAAAAAAAUGAAUUCUUCAGUCAAAUUAAAUUGGGGCAAAACACAGAUGUCGUCAUUGUCUUUUUCCGUAGCUGUUACGGUAGAGACGACCUUACCGGUGAUGGUCGUCGUCGUUAAGAUGACUGUUAUCGGUGAGGUUUCUUCCUCUUGAUGCCUGUAUAUGUGGAUUCUUUAAUCAUAUUAUGCAAAAUUCAGUUGAAAAAGUUGUUUAUUGGAUCAAAUUGAGAAAUACUAAAUUGGAAAAAAAUAAAAUUAAUAGUAUAACUCAAUAAAAUAUUGUUAAAAUUUAUCAAAAGUUUGAGGAAUGAAGGGGAGAAUUCAUUAAUAUCAAAAAUUAAAAUUAAUGGUGAAGAAAAUGAAUUCUUCAACAAUGGAAGCUUGUGAAGGAAAAACAUAGUGGAAAAGGGAGAAAGAAGGAGAAGAUAGAGGAUAAAAUUACAAAAAUACCCCUCAGAACGCGUUCAAAAUGCGUGUCAUACGUCCAUUGUUGAUUCAACAAAAAGUGUCAAAACGACACACUUUAUAGCUACUUGAGGUGUCAAAAGUGAACAACGUGCACUUGAGGUGCCAAAGUGAAAGAUGGUGUCAAGUUGAGGGGGCUGUCAAUGGAUUUGGCCCAAGAAAAAUACUUCCAACUUUCUCCUCCUUUGUGUUUCUUUCUUUGUC
Molecule: long non-coding RNA, 1403 nt
Filed under: Capsicum annuum
Lineage: Eukaryota; Viridiplantae; Streptophyta; Magnoliopsida; Solanales; Solanaceae
Description: long non-coding RNA (CANN_LNC017529)
Source: RNAcentral